UUAACAUCUUUGACAAAUUUGCUUAACCGUAGAUUAGGUGCAGCCUAGAGUACGAGUGUUGGUCGUCAUCGGACGAUUGUAUAAAAGGAAGAAAA
Molecule: long non-coding RNA, 95 nt
Organism: Vespa mandarinia (Asian giant hornet)
Lineage: Eukaryota; Metazoa; Arthropoda; Insecta; Hymenoptera; Vespidae
Source: RefSeq, a predicted model, not a curated record